This 72-nucleotide transfer RNA is filed under the name Danionella cerebrum. Its description in RNAcentral is "tRNA-Ser". It matches the Rfam family "tRNA". From Rfam's summary of the family: Transfer RNA (tRNA) molecules are approximately 80 nucleotides in length. Their secondary structure includes four short double-helical elements and three loops (D, anti-codon, and T loops). Lineage: Eukaryota; Metazoa; Chordata; Actinopteri; Cypriniformes; Danionidae. The record is from RNAcentral.
GGCUCGUUUGUCUAGGGGUAUGAUUCUUGCUUAGAGUGCGAGAGGUCCCGGGUUUAAAUCCCGGAUGAGCCC